This 254-nucleotide ribosomal RNA is filed under the name uncultured bacterium. Its description in RNAcentral is "partial 16S ribosomal RNA". It matches the Rfam family "Bacterial small subunit ribosomal RNA", at positions 524 to 776 of the family's 1533-position model. The record is from RNAcentral.
UACGUAGGGUCCGAGCGUUGUCCGGAUUCAUUGGGCGUAAAGAGCUCGUAGGCGGUUCGGUAAGUCAGAUGUGAAAACUCAGGGCUCGACCCGGAGACGCCAUCUGAUACUGCUGUGACUGGAGUCUGGUAGGGGAACACGGAAUUCCUGGUGUAGCGGUGAAAUGCGCAGAUAUCAGGAGGAACACCGAUGGCGAAGGCAGUGUUCUGGGCCAGUACUGACGCUGAGGAGCGAAAGCGUGGGGAGCAAACAGG